Molecule: ribosomal RNA, 371 nt
Filed under: uncultured bacterium
Lineage: Bacteria
Description: bacterial SSU rRNA
Rfam family: Bacterial small subunit ribosomal RNA
Source: RNAcentral
UACGGAGGAUCCAAGCGUUAUCCGGAUUUAUUGGGUUUAAAGGGAGCGUAGGUUGACAUAUAAGUCAGCUGUGAAAGUUUACGGCUCAACCGUGAAAUUGCAGUUGAUACUGUAUGUCUUGAGUGUACAAGAGGUGGGCGGAAUUCGUGGUGUAGCGGUGAAAUGCUUAGAUAUCACGAAGAACUCCAAUUGCGAAGGCAGCUCACUGGGGUACAACUGACACUGAGGCUCGAAAGUGUGGGUAUCAAACAGGAUUAGAUAUCCUGGUAGUCCACACAGUAAACGAUGAAUACUCGCUGUUUGCGAUAUACAGUAAGCGGCCAAGCGAAGGCAUUAAGUAUUCCACCUGGGGAGUACGCCGGCAACGGUGA